Long non-coding RNA from Lutra lutra (Eurasian river otter), 1106 nucleotides. RefSeq lists it as uncharacterized. The record is from RefSeq and is a predicted model, not a curated record. The transcript has 5 exons. Lineage: Eukaryota; Metazoa; Chordata; Mammalia; Carnivora; Mustelidae.
GUCAGAGAGCUCCCUGGUCCCUUCUACCAUGUCAGGACGCUGUGAAAAGGCAUCUACCUCUGAACCAUGAAGCAGGCUCUCACCAGACACUCAAUCUGUCAGCAUCUUGAUCCACGACUCCCCGGCCUCCAGAACUCCCAGGGAAGUGAAGUACUUUCUCGGCCACCCCCCCUUGGAAGUGACCAGGUGACAGUUUUGAAGUAAGUGAGAUGUCAACAGACUCCUGUAGGAGUUUUCUGUGAACAUUUUGCUUUCCUGAUGGAAGGGGCAAAGGAGCCGCUCCGCACCGCUGAAUGGCAAAAUGCCCAUCAGAGUUUUCCCAGGGAUCGAUGAGCGAAGAGUUACAGAGAGUGGCAGACCAUUAGAGGCAAACAGAGCUGGCUCCUGCCCCCGGAGGGCACGCAGACAGAUGAACAGAGCCCUUCUUGCCUCUCCCAGGACAUGCAGACAGUUGACUGUGGGAAUUAGGAGAUUUUGCUGGGUGACGAAGAGCAUCAGGACUGCACCCACACACACCUGUGAUAAAACAAUAAAGAGAGAAAAAAAUCAGCUGUGCCAAAGCUAAGUUGCACAAAAAAGACAUGGAAACAAACAAGAAUAAAACAAGAAGAGAAAAUAAUGAGGCUGCAUCACUGGGAGGAAAGAUCUGACUGCGGCCUCCCAGUAGGAACUGUCUUACUGGAGAGUAAUCCAAAGAGAAUACACAAUGGGAGCCCAUGCUUCUUAUCUUGAUGAAAUAGCCUCUAAAUAAUAAAUAAAUAAACACGCACAUAUCAUCCCAGUCGCAGAAACUUGAUUAUUGACUUUGGCAAUCCUUUCUCCAUCUCUUUGUGCCAGUAAAGUUAUUAUAAUUGAAUCGAGAGAGGCAGACGCACAGGCAUUGCCGAGACAAGAUGCUGAGUAGUUGAAAUCAAUGACUUGCAGGGCUGAUCUCCUGCCAAGGGCUGCACCAGCUCCCGGGAGGAAUCCGCCACUCUGGCCAGUGGCCCAGCGCUGCGGAAGCUGCAGGGAGAAGAUACUGCAUCCAAGAAGAAAGACCGGGAGAAACAAAAAAGGAGCAUUCUGAGGCCAAAAUGAAAUUCUUGGAAAUUAAAAACAGCAGAAAU